This 458-nucleotide ribosomal RNA is filed under the name uncultured bacterium. Its description in RNAcentral is "partial 16S ribosomal RNA". It matches the Rfam family "Bacterial small subunit ribosomal RNA", at positions 338 to 795 of the family's 1533-position model. The record is from RNAcentral.
CCUACGGGGGACAGCAGUGGGGAAUAUUGCACAAUGGGGGAAACCCUGAUGCAGCGACGCCGCGUGAGUGAAGAAGUAUUUCGGUAUGUAAAGCUCUAUCAGCAGGGAAGAAAUAGCGACCUUUGGGUCGCCAGACGGUACCUGACUAAGAAGCCCCGUCUAACUACGUGCCAGCAGCCGCGGUAAUACGUAGGGGGCAAGCGUUAUCCGGCUUUACUGGGUGUAAAGGGGGCGUAGACGGCAGCACAAGUCUGAAGUGAAAUGCCGGGGCUUAACCCCGGAACUGCCUUUGAAACUGUGCAGCUAGAGUGCAGGAGAGGUAAGUGGAAUGCCUAGUGUAGCGGUGAAAUGCGUAGAUAUUAGGAGGAACACCAGUGGCGAAGGCGGCUUACUGGACUGUAACUGACGUUGAGGCUCGAAAGCGUGGGGAGCGAACAGGAUUAGAUACCCUAGUAGUC